AGAGUUUGAUCCUGGCUCAGAACGAACGCUGGCGGCGUGGAUAAGACAUGCAAGUCGAACGAGAGAAUUGCUAGCUUGCUAAUAAUUCUCUAGUGGCGCACGGGUGAGUAACACGUGAGUAACCUGCCCCCGAGAGCGGGAUAGCCCUGGGAAACUGGGAUUAAUACCGCAUAGUAUCGAAAGAUUAAAGCAGCAAUGCGCUUGGGGAUGGGCUCGCGGCCUAUUAGUUAGUUGGUGAGGUAACGGCUCACCAAGGCGAUGACGGGUAGCCGGUCUGAGAGGAUGUCCGGCCACACUGGAACUGAGACACGGUCCAGACACCUACGGGUGGCAGCAGUCGAGAAUCAUUCACAAUGGGGGAAACCCUGAUGGUGCGACGCCGCGUGGGGGAAUGAAGGUCUUCGGAUUGUAAACCCCUGUCAUGUGGGAGCAAAUUAAAAAGAUAGUACCACAAGAGGAAGAGACGGCUAACUCUGUGCCAGCAGCCGCGGUAAUACAGAGGUCUCAAGCGUUGUUCGGAAUCACUGGGCGUAAAGCGUGCGUAGGCUGUUUCGUAAGUCGUGUGUGAAAGGCGCGGGCUCAACCCGCGGACGGCACAUGAUACUGCGAGACUAGAGUAAUGGAGGGGGAACCGGAAUUCUCGGUGUAGCAGUGAAAUGCGUAGAUAUCGAGAGGAACACUCGUGGCGAAGGCGGGUUCCUGGACAUUAACUGACGCUGAGGCACGAAGGCCAGGGGAGCGAAAGGGAUUAGAUACCCCUGUAGUCCUGGCAGUAAACGGUGCACGCUUGGUGUGCGGGGAAUCGACCCCCUGCGUGCCGGAGCUAACGCGUUAAGCGUGCCGCCUGGGGAGUACGGUCGCAAGAUUAAAACUCAAAGAAAUAGACGGGGACCCGCACAAGCGGUGGAGUAUGUGGCUUAAUUCGAUGCAACGCGAAGAACCUUACCUGGGCUUGACAUGUAAUGAACAACAUGUGAAAGCAUGCGACUCUUCGGAGGCGUUACACAGGUGCUGCAUGGCCGUCGUCAGCUCGUGUCGUGAGAUGUUUGGUUAAGUCCAGCAACGAGCGUAACCCCUGUUGCCAGUUACCAGCACGUGAGGUGGGGACUCUGGCGAGACUGCCCAGAUCAACUGGGAGGAAGGUGGGGACGACGUCAGGUCAGUAUGGCCCUUAUGCCCAGGGCUGCACACGUACUACAAUGCCCAGUACAGAGGGGGCCGAAGCCGCGAGGCGGAGGAAAUCCUAAAAACUGGGCCCAGUUCGGACUGUAGGCUGCAACCCGCCUACACGAAGCCGGAAUCGCUAGUAAUGGCGCAUCAGCUACGGCGCCGUGAAUACGUUCCCGGGUCUUGCACUCACCGCCCGUCA
Molecule: ribosomal RNA, 1369 nt
Filed under: uncultured bacterium
Lineage: Bacteria
Description: bacterial SSU rRNA
Rfam family: Bacterial small subunit ribosomal RNA
Source: RNAcentral